RNAcentral lists this ribosomal RNA (426 nucleotides) under uncultured prokaryote. Its description in RNAcentral is "bacterial SSU rRNA". It matches the Rfam family "Bacterial small subunit ribosomal RNA", at positions 355 to 774 of the family's 1533-position model. The record is from RNAcentral.
UCGAGAAUUUUUCACAAUGGGCGCAAGCCUGAUGGAGCGACGCCGCGUGGGGGAUGAAUGGCUUCGGCCCGUAAACCCCUGUCAUUCGCGAUCAAAACCUGCGACCUAACAUGUCGCAGGCUGAUAGUAGCGGAAGAGGAAGGGACGGCUAACUCUGUGCCAGCAGCCGCGGUAAUACAGAGGUCCCAAGCGUUGUUCGGAUUCACUGGGCGUAAAGGGUGCGGAGGCGGUUGGGUAAGUCUGACGUGAAAUCCCGGGGCUUAACUCCGGAAUGGCGGCGGAAACUAUUCAGCUAGAGGAUUGGAGGGGGGACUGGAAUUCUCGGUGUAGCAGUGAAAUGCGUAGAUAUCGGGAAGAACACCCGUGGCGAAGGCGAGUCCCUUGGCAAUUCCUGACGCUGAGGCACGAAAGCUAGGGGAGCAAACA